RNAcentral lists this non-coding RNA (773 nucleotides) under Nymphalis c-aureum. Lineage: Eukaryota; Metazoa; Arthropoda; Insecta; Lepidoptera; Nymphalidae. The record is from RNAcentral.
AUAAAAUAAUUAUGUUUUUAUUAAUUUAUUAUAAAUUUAUUUUACAUAUAAAUUUUAGUAUAUAAUUUUAAUUAUUUUAAAAAUAAUUAAUUAUAAUAGUAGUAAUUAAUAUUAAAAAUUUAAGAAAUUAAGAUUUAGUAAUAUGAAAAUUAAUAACCAAUUUUGUGCCAGCAGUUGCGGUUAAACAAAAAUUGAAUUAAAUUAUUUCAGUUUAUAAUUAAUAAGUAAAUAAUUAAAAUAAAUAUUAAAUUAUUAGGUGAAAUUUUAAUUUAAUUAAAUUUUAUUUAUAAGUUUAUGAUUUAAUAAAUUUUAAUAUAAACUAGGAUUAGAUACCCUAUUAUUAAAAAUUUAAUUUAUAAUACUAAAAUAGUAAAUAAUAAUUUAUUGAAACUUAAAUAAUAUGGCGGUAUUUUAGUUCAUUUAGAGGAAUCUGUCUAAUAAUUGAUAAUCCACGAAUAAAUUUACUUAAUUUAUAAUUUUGUAUAUCAUUGUUAAAAAAAUAUUUUUUAAUGAGAAUAAUAUUUAAAAAUUUUAAUAUAAAAUUAAUUCAGAUCAAGAUGCAGAGCAUAAUUAAGAAUAUGAUGGAUUACAAUAAAUAUAUUUAAAUGAAUAAUUUUUUUGUAAAUAAAUUUGAAGGUGGAUUUAAAUGUAAUUUUAAUUAAUUUAUUAAAAUGAUUAAAAAUUAAGGUAUGUACAUAUUGCCCGUCACUUUCAUUUAAAAAUUGAAAUAAGUCGUAACAAAGUAGAGGUACUGGAAAGUGUUUCUAGAAAGA